This 530-nucleotide ribosomal RNA is filed under the name uncultured prokaryote. RNAcentral describes it as "bacterial SSU rRNA". It matches the Rfam family "Bacterial small subunit ribosomal RNA", at positions 355 to 896 of the family's 1533-position model. The record is from RNAcentral.
UGGGGAAUAUUGGGCAAUGGAGGAAACUCUGACCCAGCGACGCCGCGUGCGGGAUGAAGGCCUUCGGGUUGUAAACCGCUUUCAGCAGGGAAGAAGCGAAAGUGACGGUACCUGCAGAAGAAGCACCGGCUAACUAUGUGCCAGCAGCCGCGGUAAUACAUAGGGUGCAAGCGUUGUCCGGAAUUAUUGGGCGUAAAGAGCUCGUAGGUGGUUCGUCACGUCGGAUGUGAAAAUCUGGGGCUCAACCCCAGACCUGCAUUCGAUACGGGCGAUCUAGAGUGUGGUAGGGGAGACUGGAACUCCUGGUGUAGCGGUGGAAUGCGCAGAUAUCAGGAGGAACACCAAUGGCGAAGGCAGGUCUCUGGGCCAUUACUGACACUGAGGAGCGAAAGCGUGGGGAGUGAACAGGAUUAGAUACCCUGGUAGUCCACGCCGUAAACGGUGGGCACUAGUUGUGGGAACCUUCCACGGUUUCUGCGACGCAGCUAACGCAUUAAGUGCCCCGCCUGGGGAGUACGAUCGCAAGAUUA